CUCAGUUCAGUUGUAAUUUUGUCUGGCCAGAGGGAAGUUCAAACUGCUUACUAGGGAGAUUUAUAAUGACUUGGAGGACAUACUCUGGAGAAAAUUGCUGUAGAGUGGGAAUUGGGGUAUGCUGCUUUAUUUGUCUAUCAAAGAACUAUGGAAAGUGACAAGUCAAUUUCUGCUCCCUCAGAUGGGCACAGUGAGGGCGUUCAGAGAAUUCGGCCUCUGCAUGGACGGACUAGUGGCCCAGCAAGGCGUUCCACAAAGGGGCAAUGGACAGCUGAAGAGG
RNAcentral lists this unclassified non-coding RNA (280 nucleotides) under Hevea brasiliensis (rubber tree). The record is from RNAcentral. Lineage: Eukaryota; Viridiplantae; Streptophyta; Magnoliopsida; Malpighiales; Euphorbiaceae.